This 575-nucleotide ribosomal RNA is filed under the name uncultured bacterium. RNAcentral describes it as "bacterial SSU rRNA". It matches the Rfam family "Bacterial small subunit ribosomal RNA", at positions 336 to 898 of the family's 1533-position model. The record is from RNAcentral.
CUCCUACGGGAGGCAGCAGUGGGGAAUAUUGGACAAUGGGGGGAACCCUGAUCCAGCCAUGCCGCGUGUGUGAAGAAGGCCUUAUGGUUGUUUGUAAAGCACUUUAAGCGAGGAGGAGGCUCUCUUGGUUAAUACCCAAGAAGAGUGGACGUUACUCGCAGAAUAAGCACCGGCUAACUCUGUGCCAGCAGCCGCGGUAAUACAGAGGGUGCGAGCGUUAAUCGGAUUUACUGGGCGUAAAGCGUGCGUAGGCGGCUUUUUAAGUCGGAUGUGAAAUCCCCGAGCUUAGCUUGGGAAUUGCAUUCGAUACUGGGAAGCUAGAGUAUGGGAGAGGAUGGUAGAAUUCCAGGUGUAGCGGUGAAAUGCGUAGAGAUCUGGAGGAAUACCGAUGGCGAAGGCAGCCAUCUGGCCUAAUACUGACGCUGAGGUACGAAAGCAUGGGGAGCAAACAGGAUUAGAUACCCUGGUAGUCCAUGCCGUAAACGAUGUCUACUAGCCGUUGGGCCCUUUGAGGCUUUAGUGGCGCAGCUAACGCGAUAAGUAGACCGCCCGGGGAGUACGGCUGCAAGACUAAA